Molecule: long non-coding RNA, 2280 nt
Organism: Suricata suricatta (meerkat)
Lineage: Eukaryota; Metazoa; Chordata; Mammalia; Carnivora; Herpestidae
Exons: 2
Source: RefSeq, a predicted model, not a curated record
GAGGUUGUGUCUUUCUAGGACAGUAGGGACUGGAGAAGGCUGCAGGGUUAGGGGUAGUGGUGAUCUGGAUGGCACCUGUUCUCAUCUCAGCUUGGGGUGAUGGGUGAGGCUGUCUGGGACCUGUUUCAUCAGGGACAAGGUCUCCCCAGAGGGCUCUGGACUCCUCCACUUCCCGUCUGCUCUCUGAUUUCACCUGUAUCACCUGCUAACCAGGGAUCAGAAGCUCGUUUGCUCAGGGUUGCGAGGAGGAGCGAACAGAAGGUGAUGCCUGGUGCCGGUGGUACAGGUGUUUGCAAAUGCAAGCUUUGCUGCUGCGUCUUGCAGGUUAAAGGCUGGGUGGGUGACAGGAGAUGGGACAGCAAUGGGGCGUUCAGUCUGAAAUCAGAGCCCAGGCCUCCAGUACAGCCUCUGCCUCACUUUGCUUUUUCUGCCCUGGCAGAUGAGUCUUCCCUUUAAAAAGCCUGUCCUCUGACCCAACCUCAGGCUUAACUAGAGGGAAAGGAGCUCUUGAGAGUGUUUUGAGGGGUACGUCCAGCCCCAAACACCCCAUUUGUAAAUCUCAGCUGUGAAGUCAGACCUGGCUGAGGCUACAAAGGCCAGGUUCCUGGAUGGUUCAUUCUCACCAGCAAGCGAAGCACCACGGCGGCCUCAAAGCCGCAAGAGGUUGCCUUUAAAAAGUGAAGGUUCACUGGCGCUGUCCUCAUACUCCUCCCACCACACCACAGCCUCUUGCCCUCACUCUACCUCCCCCACACCUGCCCUGAACCCUGGGCAGACAGAGCGAUCAGCUGUAAAAGGGUUAAAGUAGCUACCCACCCCACCAUCUGGGACUCCUGGGAAGGUGGGGUCUGAUCUUUACCUCCCCAUGCCAGGUGCUUUGGGGGUCUGAGCAGAAAGUAUCUGUGGAAGGAAUGAAUGAAUGAAUGAAUGGCAUCAAAAACUCUGAGUUAAGUUUAGUUUUUAAAAAUCUCUUCCACCCCGCUCUCCUGCCAGCAAGCAGCCUGCUAGCUGAUCCCACUCCCCAGACCCCCGCGCCACUUACCACAAUCACAGAGUGCAGGCAUCACCUGCUGAGAAGUGACUCCUAAUUCUCUGUAUGACCUUUGUGAAGGAAACCAACCAGUGUCCCAAGGGUGUGCUGGGAAAUGUUGGAAAACCUUCUCCCUCGAAGGAGGAAGGGCCCUGAUUGGUAGUUCUUGCUAAUUUCCAUAGCGUAAAUUCUCCCGCCAUGGUCAAUUUCAAGCCUGAGACAAUUUCAGGGCAUGAAAUGGCUGGGCACAGAGUCAGGGAAGGAUGCACGUAACUAGGUCCCUGGGCCUGUGAGAACCAGCUCUUCAGUCUACCGCCGAGGGUCUCCCCCUCCCCAGACCUAGGUUUGGGGAGCUAGCCUCAUAGGCUUUGAUGCGGGGAAGGAGGGCAACGUCUGGUUUAGGAGAAAGGGAUGUUCUUGCCUUCUUCACUCAACUCAAGAGAGAGCCCCAACGGCCAAGCCUGAAAUACUGUUGAGUUAAAGGAUGUGAGUUGCGUCUCAGAAGGAGCUCUGUGGUGGCGAAGCCUUGUGUCAAGGCAGAGGUGGGGCCAGCUCUGAGAUGUCAGGGGAAAGAAGCAACACAUUUGGAUGACCCACAGGAUGUGGGAAAGUAAGGAUUCCCAACGCACCCCACAGAGGUCCCUGUACACAGAGGGCUCAUCAGAAAUGUAACGGGACACGUCAUGAGAGUUCUGUUCAAAUCUCUUAGCAGCUGUGUGACCCCAGGCAAGUGGCUUAACCUCUCUGGGCCUCUAUUUUUGGGAAUAUAGUAUGAACAUCGAAAGACAUGGCUCACAGGAUGUUACAAGGGAGAGAAACACGAAGACUAAGGGGGAAAAACAAAAGAGGGGUUAGGAGUGUGGUUUCUGGAGAUGGAAGGAUUCAAAGCCCAGGUCCACUACCAGCUCACUGUGAGACUCUGGGGAAGUUACUAGUCUCUCUGUGCUUCAGUUUCCUCAGUGCCAAAUGGGGAUAAAAGGAGUACCUAUGUCAGGGCUUCUGUGAGAAUGAAAUUAUCAGACCUGGGAAGGGUUUGGUGCGGUUCAGAGAGAUCUGAAUGAUAUCACUGGAUAAAGCAGUUGAUAUCACAACUGAUUGACUGUAGGGUUCAACCAGCAGUUGUCCAGGCCUGACUUCUGCCUGAAAAAGGCCCCCCCCAAGUCCUCCCACCUUCUCUCCAAAUUUCCUUACUGCGUCUCUGCAUCUUCUCUGCCCUUCUCCACUGCCUUCUCUCCACCAAGCCCCCACCC